Molecule: transfer RNA, 77 nt
Filed under: Mycobacterium talmoniae
Lineage: Bacteria; Bacillati; Actinomycetota; Actinomycetes; Mycobacteriales; Mycobacteriaceae
Description: tRNA-Leu
Rfam family: tRNA
About the family: Transfer RNA (tRNA) molecules are approximately 80 nucleotides in length. Their secondary structure includes four short double-helical elements and three loops (D, anti-codon, and T loops).
Source: RNAcentral
GUCCCCGUAGCCCAACCCGGUAGAGGCGGCCGGCUUAAACCCGGUCCAGGUGCGGGUUCGACUCCCGCCGCGGGCAC